This 126-nucleotide long non-coding RNA is filed under the name Jaculus jaculus (lesser Egyptian jerboa). RNAcentral describes it as "HOX antisense intergenic RNA myeloid 1 conserved region 1 (ENSJJAG00000003094.1)". It matches the Rfam family "HOX antisense intergenic RNA myeloid 1 conserved region 1". Lineage: Eukaryota; Metazoa; Chordata; Mammalia; Rodentia; Dipodidae. The record is from RNAcentral.
CACCGUUUCAGUGGCAUUUAAAUCCCCGGCGCUCCUCCGUCUAGGUGACGUGCAGUCGGCCCCCCCAAGCAGCCCAGGCGGCGGCUGCGGCCCAGGCGGCUGCGGCGGCGGGCGCGGAGCGCUGGG